RNAcentral lists this long non-coding RNA (589 nucleotides) under Sorghum bicolor (sorghum). Its description in RNAcentral is "long non-coding RNA (SBIC_LNC014210)". Lineage: Eukaryota; Viridiplantae; Streptophyta; Magnoliopsida; Poales; Poaceae. The record is from RNAcentral.
UGGAGCUCGAAUAGAUAACAAAGCUUUGUGGAACUGGUUAAGUGUUAGCAUAAAAUCUCUUAGCCGUAAUCAUGUUGAGUUUCCUCUAAUAAAUAUUACUCUCUUUGGUAGGAUCAUAAAUUUAUUUUUAUAUUUUCAUUUUUAUAGGACAGGAAUAUAUUUAUUUUAUUUUUGUGCCACCACAGUGAAUGUACUUAUGGGUUUUAUGCCAUGAGCAUACUCACAUGGGGCUUACUAUUUUUAACAUUUUUAUUUUCUUUUCAAGAUAGCAUGAACCUGAUUAACUAAGCAAACUAUAAUUGAAUAAUUGAAAAGAAAAGGAUAACUACCAAUGAUAUGACCAUGCCACCAAGCAAGAUGUCACAAGCUCCAAGUCAAGCUACACCCACUCAAGUUUCACCUACACCGACACCAGCCCAAGUCAUCGAUGGACCGAUUACACGUAGUCGUGCAAAGAAGCUACAACAAGAGGUCCACGCGCUACUUUGUAAGAUUCAUUUUAACAUUAAUUAGAAUUAUACACUACCUAAGUAUUAUACCUUGAUUGUACUCAGGUAUAUAGAAGAAGAGAAGGAUGAAUCGGACCCUG